CGUAUCACCCAAGACAACUUUACGGAGUUGACGAUUGACGGAGCGAAGCGACGUCAAAGCGUUCAUUAAAGUCGAGUUGGCUUAGGGAUACGUUCGUUGGGUAGGGGAGCGUUCUGUAAGCCUGUGAAGGUGUGUCGUGAGGCAUGCUGGAGGUAUCAGAAGUGCGAAUGCUGACAUAAGUAACGAUAAAGCGGGUGAAAAGCCCGCUCGCCGGAAGACCAAGGGUUCCUGUCCAACGUUAAUCGGGGCAGGGUGAGUCGACCCCUAAGGCGAGGCCGAAAGGCGUAGUCGAUGGGAAACGGGUUAAUAUUCCCGUACUUGGUGUUACUGCGAAGGGGGGACGGAGAAGGCUAUGUUGGCCGGGCGACGGUUGUCCCGGUUUAAGCGUGUAGGUGUGUGUUCCAGGUAAAUCCGGUUCACUUUAACACUGAGGCGUGACGACGAGGCACUACGGUGCUGAAGCAACAAAUGCCCUGCUUCCAGGAAAAGCCUCUAAGCAUCAGGUAACACGAAAUCGUACCCCAAACCGACACAGGUGGUCAGGUAGAGAAUACCAAGGCGCUUGAGAGAAC
This 572-nucleotide ribosomal RNA is filed under the name Salmonella enterica subsp. enterica serovar Typhimurium. RNAcentral's name for it is "partial 23S ribosomal RNA". It matches the Rfam family "Bacterial large subunit ribosomal RNA", at positions 1154 to 1699 of the family's 2925-position model. Lineage: Bacteria; Pseudomonadati; Pseudomonadota; Gammaproteobacteria; Enterobacterales; Enterobacteriaceae. The record is from RNAcentral.